Long non-coding RNA from Poeciliopsis prolifica (blackstripe livebearer), 106 nucleotides. RefSeq lists it as uncharacterized. NCBI's taxonomy places the organism in Eukaryota, Metazoa, Chordata, Actinopteri, Cyprinodontiformes, Poeciliidae. The record is from RefSeq and is a predicted model, not a curated record. The transcript has 4 exons.
AGCCGGAGUGAUCACUAAUAAUCGAACUGGUGUGAUCACUAAUAAUCAAACUGGAGUGACAACGCAGACAACUACAGCUGGAAGGACAACUCAGAAUCAAGGUAAC